AAGGUUAAGCCUCACGGUUCAUUAGUACCGGUUAGCUCAACGCAUCGCUGCGCUUACACACCCGGCCUAUCAACGUCGUCGUCUUCAACGUUCCUUCAGGACCCUUAAAGGGUCAGGGAGAACUCAUCUCGGGGCAAGUUUCGUGCUUAGAUGCUUUCAGCACUUAUCUCUUCCGCAUUUAGCUACCGGGCAGUGCCAUUGGCAUGACAACCCGAACACCAGUGAUGCGUCCACUCCGGUCCUCUCGUACUAGGAGCAGCCCCCCUCAGUUCUCCAGCGCCCACGGCAGAUAGGGACCGAACUGUCUCACGACGUUCUAAACCCAGCUCGCGUACCACUUUAAAUGGCGAACAGCCAUACCCUUGGGACCUACUUCAGCCCCAGGAUGUGAUGAGCCGACAUCGAGGUGCCAAACACCGCCGUCGAUAUGAACUCUUGGGCGGUAUCAGCCUGUUAUCCCCGGAGUACCUUUUAUCCGUUGAGCGAUGGCCCUUCCAUUCAGAACCACCGGAUCACUAUGACCUGCUUUCGCACCUGCUCGCGCCGUCACGCUCGCAGUCAAGCUGGCUUAUGCCAUUGCACUAACCUCCUGAUGUCCGACCAGGAUUAGCCAACCUUCGUGCUCCUCCGUUACUCUUUAGGAGGAGACCGCCCCAGUCAAACUACCCACCAGACACUGUCCGCAACCCGGAUUACGGGCCAACGUUAGAACAUCAAACAUUAAAGGGUGGUAUUUCAAGGCCGGCUCCAUGCAGACUGGCGUCCACACUUCAAAGCCUCCCACCUAUCCUACACAUCAAGGCUCAAUGUUCAGUGUCAAGCUAUAGUAAAGGUUCACGGGGUCUUUCCGUCUUGCCGCGGGUACACUGCAUCUUCACAGCGAGUUCAAUUUCACUGAGUCUCGGGUGGAGACAGCCUGGCCAUCAUUACGCCAUUCGUGCAGGUCGGAACUUACCCGACAAGGAAUUUCGCUACCUUAGGACCGUUAUAGUUACGGCCGCCGUUUACCGGGGCUUCGAUCAAGAGCUUCGCGUUACCGCUAACCCCAUCAAUUAACCUUCCGGCACCGGGCAGGCGUCACACCGUAUACGUCCACUUUCGUGUUUGCACAGUGCUGUGUUUUUAAUAAACAGUUGCAGCCAGCUGGUAUCUUCGACUGAUUUCAGCUCCACGAGCAAGUCGCUUCACCUACAUAUCAGCGUGCCUUCUCCCGAAGUUACGGCACCAUUUUGCCUAGUUCCUUCACCCGAGUUCUCUCAAGCGCCUUGGUAUUCUCUACCUGACCACCUGUGUCGGUUUGGGGUACGAUUUGAUGUUACCUGAUGCUUAGAGGCUUUUCCUGGAAGCAGGGCAUUUGUCGCUUCAGCACCGUAGUGCCUCGUCAUCACGCCUCAGCCUUGAUUUUCCGGAUUUGCCUGGAAAACCAGCCUACACGCUUAAACCGGGACAACCGUCGCCCGGCCAACAUAGCCUUCUCCGUCCCCCCUUCGCAGUAACACCAAGUACAGGAAUAUUAACCUGUUUCCCAUCGACUACGCCUUUCGGCCUCGCCUUAGGGGUCGACUCACCCUGCCCCGAUUAACGUUGGACAGGAACCCUUGGUCUUCCGGCGAGCGGGCUUUUCACCCGCUUUAUCGUUACUUAUGUCAGCAUUCGCACUUCUGAUACCUCCAGCAACCCUCACAGGCCACCUUCACAGGCUUACAGAACGCUCCCCUACCCAACAACACAUAGUGUCGCUGCCGCAGCUUCGGUGCAUGGUUUAGCCCCGUUACAUCUUCCGCGCAGGCCGACUCGACCAGUGAGCUAUUACGCUUUCUUUAAAUGAUGGCUGCUUCUAAGCCAACAUCCUGGCUGUCUGGGCCUUCCCACAUCGUUUCCCACUUAACCAUGACUUUGGGACCUUAGCUGGCGGUCUGGGUUGUUUCCCUCUUCACGACGGACGUUAGCACCCGCCGUGUGUCUCCCGUGAUAACAUUCUCCGGUAUUCGCAGUUUGCAUCGGGUUGGUAAGUCGGGAUGACCCCCUUGCCGAAACAGUGCUCUACCCCCGGAGAUGAAUUCACGAGGCGCUACCUAAAUAGCUUUCGGGGAGAACCAGCUAUCUCCCGGUUUGAUUGGCCUUUCACCCCCAGCCACAAGUCAUCCGCUAAUUUUUCAACAUUAGUCGGUUCGGUCCUCCAGUUAGUGUUACCCAACCUUCAACCUGCCCAUGGCUAGAUCACCGGGUUUCGGGUCUAUACCCUGCAACUUAACGCCCAGUUAAGACUCGGUUUCCCUUCGGCUCCCCUAUUCGGUUAACCUUGCUACAGAAUAUAAGUCGCUGACCCAUUAUACAAAAGGUACGCAGUCACCCCAUUAAGAGGCUCCCACUGCUUGUACGUACACGGUUUCAGGUUCUUUUUCACUCCCUCGCCGGGGUUCUUUUCGCCUUUCCCUCACGGUACUGGUUCACUAUCGGUCAGUCAGGAGUAUUUAGCCUUGGAGGAUGGUCCCCCCAUAUUCAGACAGGAUACCACGUGUCCCGCCCUACUCAUCGAGCUCACAGUAUGUGCAUUUUUGUGUACGGGGCUGUCACCCUGUAUCGCGCGCCUUUCCAGACGCUUCCACUAACACACACACUGAUUCAGGCUCUGGGCUCCUCCCCGUUCGCUCGCCGCUACUGGGGGAAUCUCGGUUGAUUUCUUUUCCUCGGGGUACUUAGAUGUUUCAGUUCCCCCGGUUCGCCUCAUUAACCUAUGGAUUCAGUUAAUGAUAGUGUGUCGAAACACACUGGGUUUCCCCAUUCGGAAAUCGCCGGUUAUAACGGUUCAUAUCACCUCACCGACGCUUAUCGCAGAUUAGCACGUCCUUCAUCGCCUCUGACUGCCAGGGCAUCCACCGUGUACGCUUAGUCGCUUAA
This 2901-nucleotide ribosomal RNA is filed under the name Escherichia coli 2362-75. RNAcentral's name for it is "23S ribosomal RNA". Lineage: Bacteria; Pseudomonadati; Pseudomonadota; Gammaproteobacteria; Enterobacterales; Enterobacteriaceae. The record is from RNAcentral.